RNAcentral lists this ribosomal RNA (468 nucleotides) under Furcifer willsii. Its description in RNAcentral is "partial 16S ribosomal RNA". It matches the Rfam family "Bacterial large subunit ribosomal RNA", at positions 1852 to 2597 of the family's 2925-position model. The record is from RNAcentral. Lineage: Eukaryota; Metazoa; Chordata; Lepidosauria; Squamata; Chamaeleonidae.
GUACCGCCUGCCCUGUGGAACCCUAAACGGCCGCGGCAUUAAAACCGUGCAAAGGUAGCACAAUCACUUGUCCCUUAAAUGAGGACCCGUAUGAAAGGCACUAUGAGAGAAGACCUGUCUCCUAAGGCCUGCCAAUGAAAUUGAACUAUCAGUACAAAAGCUGAUAUAUAUAAGCAAGACAAAAAGACCCUGUGGAACUUAAUAAUCUGUUUACAAAACUUAAACAGUAAAUUUAGUUGGGACAACUUUAGAAAAAAUUAACUUCCUAACCCACCAAGACUAACUAGUCCAAAACUACUUCAAUGACCCAGUCACACUGAUUAACGAAAUAAGCUACCCCAGGGAUAACAGCGCCACCUUCUCAAAGAGUCCAUAUCAACAAGAAGAUCUACGACCUCGAUGUUGGAUCAGGGUACCCAGACGGUGCAGCAGCUGUCAAUGGUUCGUUUGUUCAACGACUAAUACCCU